GAAUGUGAGUAUAGAAGACGAGUCCAGGCACCAGGAGCAUAAUAGCGGUCAGAGAACCAAGUCCAGGACCCCAGGCAGAUUAGCUAGAGUUCAGGCAGGGUGUCAGCGCCAGUGGGGAAGAAAGAAACCAAGGAGCUGGAAUACCGUCUGUAAGUUGAGACAGAAGGAUAGCCAUAUGGCCUGGAAAAAGAUGACAAGUUUGAGGAAAUAGUUUGCAUGUCAGAGGGAACACUCGAGGGACCCUGGCCAGAGGGAGGGAUAUAUCCAGACACCCCAUGUCUGAGUCAGGAUAGGCUCAAAGGUUGCCCAGCACUGGACAUCUUCAAAGAUUUUUAUUACUGUUUAUUGCGUCAGGUGAAAUCAACAACAGCUAAGAAAAAGGAGAAACACAUUACAAUGUAACUAGUAUAAACAGUGGAAAAUCACUGUGGUUUGAAGAAACAAGUUUAACUAAAGAAAUCUGAGGUCUGUGUCUCCUAAAGAGAGGUGACUGUGGAACAGUAACACAGAAUAUCAGAUUUCAAUCUUCAUGUUUCUCCUUUUGAUGGGCACACAAUCCAAAUUCGAGAUUUUAAGGUCCUGCACAAUUUCGUUUCACCCACGUGUCCUUCCUUAUUCCCCGGCCCCUUUCAUGAGACGUGCUCCCUUCCUCCUCCAGUGCCUUAAUGCAGCUUCUCCAGCUUCCGCAGCUCUUUACUCCAAUCCCAGCCAUCUGGGCUCACUUCAGAUCACACCUUCCCUAUGGAGAUGACAAAAUCUGCUCUACUGUAAUGAUGCUGGCAAAGCUUAAUUGUUCUUCACUUAUUUCAUGGCUGUUUGUUUUAUCUUCCCAGCUAAAUAAAUUGCAGUUCUUUUGAAAGAAAGGAUCGGCUGGGUAUGGUGGCUCAUGCCUGUAAUCCCAGCACUUUGGGAGGCCAGAGCAGGCAAGUAACUUGAGCCCAGGAGUUUGAGACCAGCCUGGGUUGCAUGGUGAAACCCCAUCUCUACAAAAAAUACAAAAAUUAGCCAGACAUGGUGGCGUGUACAAGUAGUUUCAGCUACUUGGAGGCUGAGGUGGGAGGAUCACUUGAGCCUGGGAGGCAGAGGCUGCAGUGAGCCGAGAUGUGCAACUGCACUCCAGCCUGGGUGACAGAGUGAGAUCCUGUCUCAAAAAAAAAAAAAAAAAAAAAAAAGAUCAUGUCAAAAGUUUCCUUGUUUCCUUUAUAUCUUUCACAGUGCUCAGAAAAGAGCUGGUCACCAGGUGGCUGCUAGGUAAACAGAAAUCGAUUGAUUGACUCAGCCUGAGUUUAUGUAUUCAAAUUCACAUUUCCUGAAUUAGCAGACAUGGUCUUGUUUUUAAAAUUGACUUUAUAAGAUCUCGUGUUUUCUUAUAUCUGAUGGUGAUGAAAAUG
Molecule: long non-coding RNA, 1391 nt
Filed under: Homo sapiens (human)
Lineage: Eukaryota; Metazoa; Chordata; Mammalia; Primates; Hominidae
Description: non-protein coding lnc-VRK2-14:1
Source: RNAcentral